AGGAUGAACGCUGGCGGCGUGCUUAACACAUGCAAGUCGAGCGAUGAAGUUUCCUUCGGGAAACGGAUUAGCGGCGGACGGGUGAGUAACACGUGGGUAACCUGCCUCAUAGAGUGGAAUAGCCUUCCGAAAGGAAGAUUAAUACCGCAUAACGUUGAAAGAUGGCAUCAUCAUUCAACCAAAGGAGCAAUCCGCUAUGAGAUGGACCCGCGGCGCAUUAGCUAGUUGGUGGGGUAACGGCCUACCAAGGCGACGAUGCGUAGCCGACCUGAGAGGGUGAUCGGCCACAUUGGGACUGAGACACGGCCCAGACUCCUACGGGAGGCAGCAGUGGGGAAUAUUGCACAAUGGGGGAAACCCUGAUGCAGCAACGCCGCGUGAGUGAUGAAGGUUUUCGGAUCGUAAAGCUCUGUCUUUGGGGAAGAUAAUGACGGUACCCAAGGAGGAAGCCACGGCUAACUACGUGCCAGCAGCCGCGGUAAUACGUAGGUGGCGAGCGUUAUCCG
RNAcentral lists this ribosomal RNA (506 nucleotides) under Clostridium perfringens CPE str. F4969. Its description in RNAcentral is "SSU rRNA". It matches the Rfam family "Bacterial small subunit ribosomal RNA", at positions 26 to 547 of the family's 1533-position model. Lineage: Bacteria; Bacillati; Bacillota; Clostridia; Eubacteriales; Clostridiaceae. The record is from RNAcentral.